This 483-nucleotide ribosomal RNA is filed under the name uncultured bacterium. RNAcentral describes it as "partial 16S ribosomal RNA". It matches the Rfam family "Bacterial small subunit ribosomal RNA", at positions 28 to 507 of the family's 1533-position model. The record is from RNAcentral.
GACGAACGCUGGCGGCGUGCUUAACACAUGCAAGUCGAACGCUGAAGCUCAGCUUUUGUUGGGUGGAUGAGUGGCGAACGGGUGAGUAACACGUGAGUAACCUGCCCCCUUCUUUGGGAUAACGCCCGGAAACGGGUGCUAAUACUGGAUACUCACUGGUCUUCGCAUGGGGGUUGGUGGAAAGGGUUUUUCUGGUGGGGGAUGGGCUCGCGGCCUAUCAGCUUGUUGGUGGGGUGAUGGCCUACCAAGGCUUUGACGGGUAGCCGGCCUGAGAGGGUGACCGGUCACAUUGGGACUGAGAUACGGCCCAGACUCCUACGGGAGGCAGCAGUGGGGAAUAUUGCACAAUGGGCGCAAGCCUGAUGCAGCGACGCCGCGUGAGGGAUGGAGGCCUUCGGGUUGUGAACCUCUUUCGCUCAUGGUCAAGCCGCAACAAUGGUUGUGGUGAGGGUAGUGGGUAAAGAAGCGCCGGCUAACUACGUG